UACGUAGGGUGCAAGCGUUAAUCGGAAUUACUGGGCGUAAAGCGUGCGCAGGCGGUUCGUUGUGUCGGCGGUGAAAUCCCCGGGCUCAACCUGGGAAUGGCCGUUGAAACUGGCGAACUGGAGUGUGGCAGAGGGGGGUGGAAUUCCGCGUGUAGCAGUGAAAUGCGUAGAGAUGCGGAGGAACACCGAUGGCGAAGGCAGCCCCCUGGGCUGACACUGACGCUCAGGCACGAAAGCGUGGGGAGCAAACAGG
This 253-nucleotide ribosomal RNA is filed under the name uncultured bacterium. Its description in RNAcentral is "partial 16S ribosomal RNA". It matches the Rfam family "Bacterial small subunit ribosomal RNA", at positions 524 to 776 of the family's 1533-position model. The record is from RNAcentral.